AAAAGGUUUGGUCCUAGCCUUGUCAUUAGUUAUCAGUAAGAUUACACAUGCAAGUAUCUGCUAGCCAGUGAGAAUGCCCUUCUACUCGCCCACCUCGGCGACCUUAAGGAGCGGGUAUCAAGCACACCAUCAGUAGCUCAAGACACCUUGCCCAGCCACGCCCCCACGGGAUACAGCAGUGAUAAAAAUUAAGCAAUAAACGAAAGUUUGACUAAGCUAUACUGACACAGGGUUGGUCAAUCUCGUGCCAGCCACCGCGGUCAUACGAUUGACCCGAAUUAAUGACAAAACGGCGUAAAGUGUGGUUAAACAAACUCAGCAAAUAAAGUUAAACUAGAUCUCGGCUGUAAAAAGCUAAAGACCUAAGGCUACUAGAUUACUGACGUAACUUUACCCUAAAUGAACCCACGAUAGCUAAGACACAAACUGGGAUUAGAUACCCCACUAUGCUUAGCCGUAAACUUUGAUAAUUAGUAACAAAAAUGUCCGCCAGAGAACUACUAGCCAAUGCUUAAAACUCAAAGGACUUGGCGGUGCUUUAUACCCCCUAGAGGAGCCUGUUACAUAAUCGAUAAACCCCGAUAAACCCUACCAUCACUUGCUAAAACAGUCUAUAUACCGCCAUCUUCAGCGAACCCUUAAAAGGAAUAACAGUAAGCUCAAGCGUAUUCACAAAAACGUUAGGUCAAGGUGUAACCUAUGUGAUGGACCAUAAUGGGCUACAUUUUCUAUACAAGAACAAUUACGAACUCUCGCAUGAAAUCAGCGAGAUAAAGGAGGAUUUAGCAGUAAGUCAGGAGUAGAGAGCCUGACUGAAUCUGGCCAUGAAGCACGCACACACCGCCCGUCACCCUCCUCGAGUAUUUCAGACCUUAAACCAUAUUUAAAUACAACGAAUAUGAGAGGAGACAAGUCGUAACAAGGUAAGCAUACUGGAAAGUGUGCUUGGAAUAUU
Molecule: non-coding RNA, 955 nt
Filed under: Elephantulus intufi (Bushveld elephant shrew)
Lineage: Eukaryota; Metazoa; Chordata; Mammalia; Macroscelidea; Macroscelididae
Description: partial 12S ribosomal RNA
Rfam family: Bacterial small subunit ribosomal RNA
Source: RNAcentral